GUAAUGCCUAGGAAUCUGCCUGGUAGUGGGGGAUAACGUCCGGAAACGGACGCUAAUACCGCAUACGUCCUACGGGAGAAAGCAGGGGACCUUCGGGCCUUGCGCUAUCAGAUGAGCCUAGGUCGGAUUAGCUAGUUGGUGGGGUAAUGGCUCACCAAGGCGACGAUCCGUAACUGGUCUGAGAGGAUGAUCAGUCACACUGGAACUGAGACACGGUCCAGACUCCUACGGGAGGCAGCAGUGGGGAAUAUUGGACAAUGGGCGAAAGCCUGAUCCAGCCAUGCCGCGUGUGUGAAGAAGGUCUUCGGAUUGUAAAGCACUUUAAGUUGGGAGGAAGGGCAGUAAAUUAAUACUUUGCUGUUUUGACGUUACCGACAGAAUAAGCACCGGCUAACUCUGUGCCAGCAGCCGCGGUAAUACAGAGGGUGCAAGCGUUAAUCGGAAUUACUGGGCGUAAAGCGCGCGUAGGUGGUUCGUUAAGUUGGAUGUGAAAUCCCCGGGCUCAACCUGGGAACUGUAUUCAAAACUGACGAGCUAGAGUAUGGUAGAGGGUGGUGGAAUUUCCUGUGUAGCGGUGAAAUGCGUAGAUAUAGGAAGGAACACCAGUGGCGAA
RNAcentral lists this ribosomal RNA (613 nucleotides) under uncultured bacterium. Its description in RNAcentral is "bacterial SSU rRNA". It matches the Rfam family "Bacterial small subunit ribosomal RNA", at positions 110 to 719 of the family's 1533-position model. The record is from RNAcentral.